This 225-nucleotide ribosomal RNA is filed under the name Salmonella enterica subsp. enterica serovar Lubbock. RNAcentral describes it as "partial 23S ribosomal RNA". It matches the Rfam family "Bacterial large subunit ribosomal RNA", at positions 1124 to 1348 of the family's 2925-position model. Lineage: Bacteria; Pseudomonadati; Pseudomonadota; Gammaproteobacteria; Enterobacterales; Enterobacteriaceae. The record is from RNAcentral.
UAAAGAAAGCGUAAUAGCUCACUGGUCGAGUCGGCCUGCGCGGAAGAUGUAACGGGGCUAAACCAUGCACCGAAGCUGCGGCAGCGACACUGUGUGUUGUUGGGUAGGGGAGCGUUCUGUAAGCCUGUGAAGGUGGCCUGGGAGGGUUGCUGGAGGUAUCAGAAGAGCGAAUGCUGACAUAAGUCACGAUAAAGCGGGUGAAAAGCCCGCUCGCCGGAAGACCAA